UUCUAACCUAAGCUUAUAUUGCCUGCCUUCUUAUAAAUCAAACUCCUAUUUAAAAAAACACUUAUCGUGUCUUCUAUAAAGUACACAAAAUAUAAAUAUAAUACAUACAGGCUAUAGUAUAAAGUAUUGUAAAAGAAAUUAACAAACAUUAAUUAAAAAAUAGAAAAUAAACUGCCUUGUGUAUUAGAAAAAAUCAAAAUUAUAUACUUAUAAUAUACAUCCCGAAAUAAGGAGAGCUAGGUUGCUUAUUAAAAUUUGUAUAACAAAAUAAUUUUUAAUUCCAACAUAGUAGUGAAACUCUAAACGAGCCUUAUAUAUCUGGUUUUUUUGAAAAAAAAUUCAAUUUAUUAUUUACUUACACCUAAGUAAAAAACAAGCCCAGGAGGGUAAGCUUCUUGGGAGACUCAAGUACAUAACAAAAAUAUAAAGUAAACAAUCUAAGCUUAAAAGUAGCUACGAUAGUAAAGUGUUUAAACUAUAUUUCACAUAUUUAUAUUUUAUAGCCUUAUUACAAAAAAAAACAAAAACAUUUUUUUAAACAAAGAAUUUAAAAGAUAAUGAUUUUACUAGUAUACAACAUUAAUAUCUAAUCCUCCUGAAUAAAAUCAGCUUACAACCCACUUAUAAAACACCAAAUAUUUAACCAAGGAACUCGGCAAGCAUUAUUUUUGCCUGUUUAUCAAAAACAUGUCUGCUUGAAACUACAAACAGUCUGACCUGCCCACUGAAAUUUCUUUAAAGGCCGCGGUACCCUGACCGUGCGAAGGUAGCAUAAUAAUUAGUCUUUUAAUUGAAGAAUAGAAUGAAAGGUCGAACAAAAAAUAACCUGUCUCAGUUUAAAACAUUGAAUCUAACUUUUAAGUGAAAAGGCUUAAAUAACCUAGGGGGACGAUAAGACCCUAUAAAACUUUAUAUUUAUAAAAAUAGUUAUGUGAAUUAUUCUUUUAAAACAAUCUAUAUUUAAUACAUAUUUCAUUGGGGUGAUGAGAGCAUAAAAUCCAACUGCUCUAAUUUUAAACAAUAAUAUUUGAUUUUAUGAUCCUUCUCAAGAUUAAAAGAAAAAGUUACUUUAGGGAUAACAGCGUUAUUUUUUUUAAGAGUCCUUAUCGACAAAAAAGUUUGCGACCUCGAUGUUGAAUUAAAAUAUCCUUAUAGUGCAGCAAUUAUAAAGGAAGGUCUGUUCGACCUUUAAAAUUUUACAUGAUUUGAGUUCAGACCGGCGCAAGCCAGGUUGGUUUCUAUCUCCUAGAAAAAAAAAACUAUCUUAGUACGAAAGGAUUUUAUAGUUAAAAAAUUUUUUUAAACAUGAGUAAUAAUAACCCAUAAAGC
This 1329-nucleotide ribosomal RNA is filed under the name Paraglypturus tonganus (nomen nudum). RNAcentral describes it as "16S ribosomal RNA". The stretch from base 881 to 1249 matches the Rfam family "Bacterial large subunit ribosomal RNA", at positions 2072 to 2648 of the family's 2925-position model. The record is from RNAcentral. Lineage: Eukaryota; Metazoa; Arthropoda; Malacostraca; Decapoda; Callianassidae.